Molecule: unclassified non-coding RNA, 218 nt
Filed under: Paraglomerales sp.
Lineage: Eukaryota; Fungi; Glomeromycota; Glomeromycetes; Paraglomerales
Description: partial internal transcribed spacer 2
Rfam family: 5.8S ribosomal RNA (bases 1-65)
Source: RNAcentral
GUGAAUCAUCGAAUUUUUGAACGCAAAUUGCGCCUUUUUCUAUAGGCAUGUCUGUUUGAGGGCGCGGUUUAACAAAUACUGUGCUGCUUUUUUUGUUGCACACGUUGUUGAGCUUUCCACGCAUUUUAUAUUUUUGGUGGCGCAUAAUGAACAGGUUGUGAGUUUUUUUAUGUUCGAGUGUAGAAAAAUUUUUUCUUGCUUGUGUUUUGUGAUGCAUG